This 403-nucleotide ribosomal RNA is filed under the name uncultured bacterium. RNAcentral's name for it is "bacterial SSU rRNA". It matches the Rfam family "Bacterial small subunit ribosomal RNA", at positions 355 to 775 of the family's 1533-position model. The record is from RNAcentral.
UAGGGAAUAUUAGUAAUGGGCGAAAGCCUGAACUAGCAACGCCGCGUGUGCGAAGAAGGCCUUCGGGUUGUAAAGCACUUUUUGAGAGGAUGAGGAAGGACGGUACUCUCAGAAUAAGUCUCGGCUAACUACGUGCCAGCAGCCGCGGUAACACGUAGGAGGCAAACGUUAUCCGGAUUUACUGGGCGUAAAGCGCGUGUAGGUGGUUUGGUAAGUAGGGCGUGAAAGCUCCUGGCUCAACUGAGAGAGGCCGUUCUAAACUGGCGAACUAGAGGAUGGUAGAGGGAGGUGGAAUGCCGGGUGUAGCGAUGGAAUGCGCAGAUAUCCGGAGGAACAACAGUGGCGAGAGCAGCCUCCUGGACCAUUCCUGACACUCAGACGCGAAAGCUAGGGUAGCAAACGG